AACGAACGCUGGCGGCAGGCCUAACACAUGCAAGUCGAGCGAACCCUUCGGGGUUAGCGGCGGACGGGUUAGUAACGCGUGGGAAUAUACCCUUUGGUACGGAAUAGCCUCGGGAAACUGAGAGUAAUACCGUAUGUGCCCUUCGGGGGAAAGAUUUAUCGCCAAAGGAUUAGCCCGCGUUGGAUUAGAUAGUUGGUGGGGUAAUGGCCUACCAAGUCUACGAUCCAUAGCUGGCUUGAGAGGAUGAUCAGCAACACUGGGGACUGAGACACGGCCCAGACCUCCUACGGGAGGCAGCAGUGGGGAAUCUUAGACAAUGGGCGCAAGCCUGAUCUAGCCAUGCCGCGUGGACGAUGAAGGCCUUAGGGUUGUAAAGUCCUUUCAGAUGGGAAGAUAAUGACGGUACCAUCAGAAGAAGCCCCGGCUAACUCCGUG
RNAcentral lists this ribosomal RNA (435 nucleotides) under uncultured bacterium. RNAcentral describes it as "bacterial SSU rRNA". It matches the Rfam family "Bacterial small subunit ribosomal RNA", at positions 29 to 507 of the family's 1533-position model. The record is from RNAcentral.